AACGCACAUUGCGCUCUCUGGUAUUCCGGAGAGCAUGCCUGUUUGAGUAUCAGUUAACCAUUCUCAAGCUACACAAUUCCUCGGGAGCGUGUGGCGUGGAACUGAGUGUUCCCGGUAUGAGUGCCUCGGCGCUGUAACUGGGAGACUUGAAACUGAUCUCGCGGGAGCAGUGGUCAUUAAGGAUCAGCUCGUUGCAGGUGUACUAGUUGGAGGCGUCGCAAGACGUUUUCAUUCUUAGCACCAUAACGUAACGUUCAGAUCUGACGACUGCCACCGACGAACGCAGGAACUUGGAUGCGGGCGCAAGCCCAACUCUUAAUUCUUGAUCUCAAAUCAGGUAGGAUUACCCGCUGAACUUAA
RNAcentral lists this unclassified non-coding RNA (360 nucleotides) under uncultured Basidiobolus. Its description in RNAcentral is "sequence contains ITS2". The stretch from base 1 to 52 matches the Rfam family "5.8S ribosomal RNA", at positions 103 to 154 of the family's 154-position model. The record is from RNAcentral. Lineage: Eukaryota; Fungi; Basidiobolomycota; Basidiobolomycetes; Basidiobolales; Basidiobolaceae.